GUGCAGCAGGCGCGAAAACUUCGCACUGGGGGAAACCCCGACGAGGGAAUUCCAAGUGCUAGCACUUUGUGUUAGCUGUUCUUCUGUCUAAAAAACAGGAGAAGUAAGGGGCGGGUAAGACGGGUGCCAGCCGCCGCGGUAAUACCCGCGCCCCGAGUGGUGGUCGAUAUUAUUGAGCCUAAAACGUCCGUAGCCGGUCUUCUAAAUCCUUGGGUAAAUCGGGCAGCUUAACUGUCCGAAUUCCGGGGAGACUGGGAGACUUGGGACCGGGAGAGGUCAGAGGUACUUCUGGGGUAGGGGUAAAAUCCUGUAAUCCUGGAAGGACCACCGGUGGCGAAGGCGUCUGACUAGAACGGAUCCGACGGUGAGGGACGAAGCCCUGGGGCGCAAACGGGAUUAGAUACCCCGGUAGUCCAGGGUGUAAACGCUGCGGGCUUGGUGUUGGGGGUCCUUAGUGGGCGCCCAGUGCCGGAGAGAAGUUGUUAAGCCUGCUGCUUGGGGAGUAUGUCCGCAAGGAUGAAACUUAAAGGAAUUGGCGGGGGAGCAC
This 547-nucleotide ribosomal RNA is filed under the name uncultured archaeon. RNAcentral's name for it is "bacterial SSU rRNA". It matches the Rfam family "Archaeal small subunit ribosomal RNA", at positions 330 to 879 of the family's 1478-position model. The record is from RNAcentral.